Molecule: ribosomal RNA, 252 nt
Filed under: uncultured bacterium
Lineage: Bacteria
Description: partial 16S ribosomal RNA
Rfam family: Bacterial small subunit ribosomal RNA
Source: RNAcentral
UACGUAGGUUCCGAGCGUUGUCCGGAUUUAUUGGGCGUAAAGCGAGCGCAGGUGGUUUAUUAAGUCUGGUGUAAAAGGCAGUGGCUCAACCAUUGUAUGCAUUGGAAACUGGUAGACUUGAGUGCAGGAGAGGAGAGUGGAAUUCCAUGUGUAGCGGUGAAAUGCGUAGAUAUAUGGAGGAACACCGGUGGCGAAAGCGGCUCUCUGGCCUGUAACUGACACUGAGGCUCAAAAGCGUGGGGAGCAAACAGG